CUGUGUUUUCCUGGCCGGCCAAAGACGAGUGAAUCUGAACCGAUUAUUGGCAGUGGGAACAUUUAUUUUACUUGAAUCAUGAUCUAAUAAGUGAGCUUCACCGCAUUUGCAUUCUUAUUCUCAGAGCUCACUCACUACAAUCAAUUCCACAUGAAAACAUUGCUGAACUUGAAAUAAGAUAGGGAUAGCUCUCAGUCUCAGAUACUCAGACUUGAUGACGCUGGGUAUGCAAUUGGGCUUGAUUUCUGGAUCUUUUUUUGCAACCGACAGAAAUCCGAAAAGAGCCAAGGUUUCUAAGAAUUUCGUCAUACAAUCUCAAGACAAGACAUGACUUGAGUCCGGUACUUAAUUACAUAUCAAAGGACUUAAGGACAUCAAGUUUGUUUUGAGUUUCACCAUAACCUACAAAAGUUCAUUACACACGGUCUCAAGCAUCAAA
Molecule: long non-coding RNA, 439 nt
Organism: Brassica oleracea var. oleracea
Lineage: Eukaryota; Viridiplantae; Streptophyta; Magnoliopsida; Brassicales; Brassicaceae
Exons: 4
Source: RefSeq, a predicted model, not a curated record